GAGGAAUAUUGGUCAAUGGGAGAGAUCCUGAACCAGCCAAGCCGCGUGAGGGAAGACGGCCCUAUGGGUUGUAAACCUCUUUUGUCGGAGAACAAAACCCGGGACGUGUCCCGGACUGCGUGUAUCCGAAGAAAAAGCAUCGGCUAACUCCGUGCCAGCAGCCGCGGUAAUACGGAGGAUGCGAGCGUUAUCCGGAUUUAUUGGGUUUAAAGGGUGCGUAGGCGGUCUGUUAAGUCAGCGGUAAAAUUGCGGGGCUCAACCCCGUCGAGCCGUUGAAACUGGCAGACUUGAGUUGGCGAGAAGUACGCGGAAUGCGCGGUGUAGCGGUGAAAUGCAUAGAUAUCGCGCAGAACUCCGAUUGCGAAGGCAGCGUACCGGCGCCAGACUGACGCUGAGGCACGAAAGCGUGGGGAUCGAACAGGAUUAGAUACCCUGGUAGUCCACGCAGUAAACGAUGAAUGCUGGUUGUCCGGGUCGAAUGAGACCUGG
Molecule: ribosomal RNA, 489 nt
Filed under: uncultured bacterium
Lineage: Bacteria
Description: bacterial SSU rRNA
Rfam family: Bacterial small subunit ribosomal RNA
Source: RNAcentral